UACAGAAGUCUCAAGCGUUGUUCGGAUUCAUUGGGCGUAAAGGGUGCGUAGGCGGCGCGGUAAGUCGGGUGUGAAAUCUCGGAGCUUAACUCCGAAACUGCAUUCGAUACUGCCGUGCUUGAGGACUGGAGAGGAGACUGGAAUUUACGGUGUAGCGGUGAAAUGCGUAGAUAUCGUAAGGAAGACCAGUGGCGAAGGCGGGGAUCUGGACAGUUCCUGACGCUGAGGCACGAAGGUCAGGGGAGCAAACGGG
This 253-nucleotide ribosomal RNA is filed under the name uncultured bacterium. RNAcentral describes it as "partial 16S ribosomal RNA". It matches the Rfam family "Bacterial small subunit ribosomal RNA", at positions 524 to 776 of the family's 1533-position model. The record is from RNAcentral.